UGCCCGGCUUUCCGGAAGUGCCCGGCUGGCUGACGGAGAAGGGGUUUGCCUGAACGCGGCAAGGAGAGGGUUGUGGUUCUGGAGCUUGGGUGACGGCUGGAGGAGCGACUCGGGGUUGAGGUGGGCUUCAGGAGAGAGCUGGGCGGCGGGAUGAUGGAAGAGGAGGAACUGGAGUUCGUAGAGGAGCUGGAAGCCGUGCUGCAGCUCACGCCUGACGUGCAGCUCGCCAUCGAGCAGGUGUUUCCAAGCCAGGAUCCUCUAGAUCGAGCAGAUUUCAAUGCUGUGGAGUAUAUCAAUACUCUGUUCCCAACAGAACAAUCUCUGGCAAACAUAGAUGAAGUCGUGAACAAAAUUAGACUGAAAAUAAGGAGACUGGAUGACAAUAUUCGAACUGUUGUAAGAGGUCAAACAAAUGUGGGGCAGGAUGGCAGGCAAGCACUUGAAGAGGCCCAGAAAGCUAUUCAGCAACUCUUCGGCAAAAUCAAAGAUAUCAAAGACAAAGCAGAAAAAUCAGAGCAAAUGGUUAAAGAAAUCACCCGCGAUAUUAAGCAGCUAGAUCAUGCCAAACGCCACCUGACCACCUCAAUCACAACGCUGAACCACCUGCACAUGUUAGCAGGUGGCGUGGAUUCCCUCGAAGCCAUGACCAGGCGAAGACAGUAUGGAGAAGUUGCUAACCUUCUUCAGGGUGUGAUGAAUGUUCUGGAGCACUUCCACAAGUAUAUGGGAAUUCCGCAGAUCCGGCAGCUUUCUGAAAGAGUGAAAGCUGCCCAGACUGAGUUAGGACAGCAAAUCCUCGCUGAUUUUGAAGAAGCAUUUCCUUCCCAGGGCACCAAGAGGCCAGGAGGACCCAGCAAUGUCCUACGAGAUGCGUGUCUGGUUGCUAAUAUUUUGGAUCCCAGAAUCAAACAGGAAAUCAUCAAAAAGUUUAUUAAACAGCAUCUGUCAGAAUAUCUAGUACUUUUUCAAGAAAACCAAGAUGUUGCCUGGCUGGACAAAAUCGACAGACGCUAUGCCUGGAUAAAACGCCAGCUUGUGGACUAUGAGGAGAAAUAUGGUCGUAUGUUUCCACGUGAGUGGUACAUGACCGAGAGGAUUGCAGUAGAAUUUUGCCAUGUCACAAGGACAGAACUUGCCAAGAUUAUGCGUACCAGAGCUAAGGAAAUUGAAGUGAAAUUGCUUCUUUUUGCUAUUCAAAGAACGACUAACUUUGAAGGGUUUCUUGCCAAACGCUUCUCCGGGUGCACCCUGACAGAUGGAACUCUGCAGAAAAAACUUGAGUCUCCACCCCCAUCCACCAAUCCCUUCCUGGAAGAUGAGCCAGCACCAGAGAUGGAGGAACUGGCGAUGGAGAAAGGAGAUUUAGAUCAGCCAAAGAAGCCGAAAGCCCCAGACAAUCCAUUUCAUGGCAUUGUUUCCAAGUGUUUCGAGCCUCAUCUCUACGUGUAUAUUGAGUCCCAGGACAAAAACCUUGGAGAGCUGAUUGACCGGUUUGUGGCCGAUUUCAAAGCCCAGGGGCCACCUAAGCCCAACACUGACGAAGGGGGUGCCGUGCUCCCCAGCUGUGCUGACCUCUUUGUCUACUACAAGAAGUGCAUGGUGCAGUGCUCUCAGCUCAGUACUGGGGAGCCAAUGAUCGCCCUGACCACCAUUUUCCAGAAGUACCUCCGAGAAUAUGCCUGGAAAAUCCUCUCUGGCAAUCUACCCAAAACCACAAGCAGCAGUGGAGGCCUGACCAUCAGCAGCCUCCUCAAGGAAAAGGAAGGCUCAGAAGUAGCCAAGUUCACUCUAGAGGAGCUCUGCCUCAUCUGCAGCAUCCUAAGCACAGCAGAGUACUGUCUGGCCACCACCCAGCAGCUAGAAGAAAAACUCAAGGAAAAAGUUGAUGUAAGUCUGAUUGAACGAAUCAAUCUGACUGGAGAAAUGGAUACGUUCAGCACUGUCAUCUCUAGCAGCAUCCAGUUGUUGGUUCAAGAUCUGGAUGCUGCCUGUGAUCCUGCCCUGACUGCCAUGAGCAAGAUGCAGUGGCAGAAUGUGGAGCACGUUGGUGACCAGAGCCCUUAUGUCACCUCUGUCAUUCUUCACAUUAAGCAGAAUGUCCCUAUUAUCCGUGACAACCUGGCUUCCACACGGAAAUAUUUCACUCAGUUCUGCAUUAAAUUUGCAAACUCCUUCAUUCCCAAGUUCAUCACCCACCUCUUCAAGUGCAAGCCAAUUAGCAUGGUGGGAGCAGAACAGCUGUUGCUGGACACCCAUUCCUUGAAGAUGGUCCUGCUCGAUCUACCUUCCAUUGGCUCACAGGUGGUGAGGAAAGCACCUGCCAGUUACACUAAGAUUGUUGUGAAAGGCAUGACUCGGGCGGAAAUGAUACUCAAGAAUGGCUCAAAUGAUGGCAGGAGUGAAAAGUAGCUAUGGGACCUGAGACAUGCACGGGACCAGGUGAGGGUCCGGCCUGAGGAACUCGGAAGCAGCCUAAUCCGAUUCUCCCCACAGCUGUCUUCCUCACCGGGGAGGAGAGCAUGCAGCUUGGGAACUGUCUGCAGGGAAUUUCUGAGUGAACUACUCCUUCCUUGCCCCUCUGUGGUCCAUUCUCAGGAGUUCAAAACAAAACCAGUCUACUGCAGGAAGAAAAUCAGACACUGCAUUCCAAAACCAAGUAGGAAUGAAUUUGAGGAUCGCAAUGCCAUUUGUAGUGAUGGCCCCUCACGAACCAUUGGU
Leptonychotes weddellii (Weddell seal) is the source of this 2718-nucleotide non-coding RNA. The record is from RefSeq and is a predicted model, not a curated record. NCBI's taxonomy places the organism in Eukaryota, Metazoa, Chordata, Mammalia, Carnivora, Phocidae.